GUUGAGAUUGUAGACAUCACUAUAUUUUUAAUAUCAGUCCUCUGAUCACACAAGUUUGGAACACACAAACAUCAGGAAAACAUUUAACAACUUCUCUCUGAUAGAUAUAAAUAAAUAAAUAAAACCAUAAUAAAUAAGAAUAAAUAUAUGAUUAAACAUUUGGUUACUUAAACAUUUCAAAUGGUCACAGGUACUUCAGUUUGUUGCUUCAUUUGGAGGAUGUGAACUUAAGAAAUGUUAAAAACAUGAUCUGAGUACAUGUGACGACAGAGCCAGAACUACUGUAAGGAAGCUGAUGUUGUUGAGAAUAGCAGAGGAGGUGGUUGUUGCUGUCGCUGCAGUUAUGGUUGUUGAAGCAGCUGUAGUUGUUGUCGCGGCAGUUUUGGUUGUUGUUGGAACAGUUGUGGUUGUUGUUGCUGGUGUUGUUGUUGUUGUCGCUGCGGUUGUGGUUGUUGUUGAAGCAGCUGCAGUUGUUGUCGCGGCAGUUGUGAUUGUUGUUGGAACAGCUGUGGUUGUUGUCGCUGCAGUUGUGAUUGUUGUUGGAACAGCUGUGGUUGUUGUCGCUGCAGUUGUGGUUGUUGUUGGAACAGCUGUGGUUGUUGUCGCUGCAGUUGUGGUUGUUGUUGGAACAGCUGUGGUUGUUGUCACUGCAGUUGUGAUUGUUGUUGGAACAGCUGUGGUUGUUGUUGGGGCAGAUGUGGUUGUUGUUGGAGCAGCUGUGGUUGUUGUCGCUGCAGUUGUGGUUGUUGUUGGAACAGCUGUGGUUGUUGUCACUGCAGUUGUGGUUGUUGUUGGAACAGCUGUGGUUGUUGUUGGGGCAGAUGUGGUUGUUGUUGUAGCAGCUGUGGUUGUUGUUGCAGCAACUGUAGUUGUUGUUGCUGCAGAUGUGGUUGUUGUCGCUGCAACUGUGGUUGUUGUUGGAGCAGCUGUAGUUGUUGUUCGAGCAGAUGUGGUUGUUGUCGCUGCAGUUGUGGUUGUUGUUGUCGCAACUGUAGUUGUUGUCGGUGCAGCUGUGGUUGUUGUCGGAGCAGCUGUGGUUGUUGUCACUGCAGUUGUGGUUGUCGUUGGAACAGCUGUGGUUGUUUUUGGGGCAGCUGUGAUUGUUGUUGGAGCAGAUGUGGUUGUUGUUGGAGCAGCUGUGGUUGUUGUUGGAACAGCUGUGGUUGUUGUUGUUGCAGCUGUAGUUGUUGUCGGUGCAGCUGUAGUUGUUGUUGCUGCAACUGUAGUUGUUGUUGCUGCAACUGUAGUUGUUGUUGGAGCAGCUGUGGUUGUUGUUGUCGCAGCUGUAAUUGUUGUCGGUGCAGCUGUAGUUGUUGUCGGUGCAGCUGUGGUUGUUGUUGCUGCAACUGUAGUUGUUGUCGCUGCAACUGUAGUUUUUGUUGGAGCAGCUGUGGUUGUUGUUGUCGCAGCUGUAGUUGUUGUCGGUGCAGCUGUAGUUGUUGUUGCUGCAACUGUAGUUGUUGUUGGAGCAGCUGUGGUUGUUGUCCCUGCAGCUGUGGUUGUUGUUGGAACAGCUGUGGUUGUUGUUGGUGCAGCUGUGGUUGUUGUUGGAGCAGCUGUGGUUGUUGUCGCUGCAGUUGUGGUUGUUGUUGGUGCAGCUGUAGUUGUUGUUGCUGCAACUGUAGUUGUUGUUGCUGCAACUGUAGUUGUUGUUGGAGCAGCUGUGGUUGUUGUUGGUGCAGCUUUGGUUGUUGUUGGUGCAGCUGUGGUUGUUGUUGGAGCAACUGUAGUUGUUGUUGCUGCAACUGUGGUUGUUGUUGGAGCAGCUGUGGUUGUUGUCCCUGCAGCUGUGGUUGUUGUUGGAGCAGCUGUGGUUGUUGUUGGUGCAGCUGUGGUUGUUGUUGGAGCAGCCGUGGUUGUUGUCGCUGCAGUUGUGGUUGUCGUUGGAGCAGCUGUGGUUGUUGUUGGGGCAGCUGUGAUUGUUGUUGGAGCAGAUGUGGUUGUUGUUGGAGCAGCUGUGGUUGUUGUUGGAACAGCUGUGGUUGUUGUUGUCGCAGCUGUAGUUGUUGUUGCAGCAACUGUAGUUGUUGUUGGGCAGAUGUGGUUGUUGUCGCUGCAGCUGUGGUUGUUGUUGGAGCAGCUGUAGUUGUUGUUGGAGCAGCUGUGGUUGUUGUUGUCGCAGCUGUAGUUGUUGUCGGUGCAGCUGUAGUUGUUGUUGCUGCAACUGUAGUUGUUGUUGUCGCAACUGUAGUUG
This is a long non-coding RNA of Astatotilapia calliptera (eastern happy), 2194 nucleotides long. NCBI's taxonomy places the organism in Eukaryota, Metazoa, Chordata, Actinopteri, Cichliformes, Cichlidae. The record is from Ensembl.